This 445-nucleotide ribosomal RNA is filed under the name uncultured bacterium. RNAcentral describes it as "partial 16S ribosomal RNA". It matches the Rfam family "Bacterial small subunit ribosomal RNA", at positions 354 to 796 of the family's 1533-position model. The record is from RNAcentral.
GUGAGGAAUAUUGGUCAAUGGGCGCAAGCCUGAACCAGCCAUGCCGCGUGCAGGAAGACGGUCCUAUGGAUUGUAAACUGCUUUUAUUUGGGAAUAAACUCCGGUACGUGUACCGGCCUGAAGGUACCAAAUGAAUAAGCACCGGCUAACUCCGUGCCAGCAGCCGCGGUAAUACGGAGGGUGCAUGCGUUAUCCGGAAUCAUUGGGUUUAAAGGGUCCGCAGGCGGUCUUAUAAGUCAGUGGUGAAAGCCUACAGCUCAACUGUAGAACUGCCAUUGAUACUGUAGGACUUGAAUUCGAUCGAAGUGGGCGGAAUGUGACAUGUAGCGGUGAAAUGCUUAGAUAUGUCACAGAACACCGAUAGCGAAGGCAGCUCACUAGGUCUGGAUUGACGCUCAGGGACGAAAGCGUGGGGAGCAAACAGGAUUAGAUACCCUUGUAGUCC